GAUGUGGAGCCUGAGUGCAUCAUGGAGAAGGUGGCCAAGGCUUCAGGUGCCAACUACAGCUUUCACAAGGAGAGUGGCCGCUUCCAGGAUGCGGGACCCCAGGCCCCAGUGGGCUCUGUGUACCAGAAGACCAAUGCCGUGUCUGAGAUUAAAAGGGUUGGUAAAGACAGCUUCUGGGCCAAAGCAGAGAUGGUCACACUGAGGCUCGGAAGGAGGAGGAGAACCGUCGGCUAGAGGAAAAGCGGCGGGCCGAGGAGGCGCAGCGGCAGCUGGAGCAGGAGCGCCGGGAGCGUGAGCUGCGUGAGGCUGCACGCCGGGAGCAGCGCUAUCAGGAGCAGGGUGGCGAGGCCAGCCCCCAGAGGACGUGGGAGCAACAGCAAGAAGUGGUUUCAAGGAACCGAGAUGAGCAGGUAAGAUGGGGGUGCUCUACUUGUUUGGACCUGUCCUGGCCACAAGCAGAAGUCCCUGAUCUUGGGUUGAGGGCCCAGCCCAGACCUGGGCAGAGGCUGCCCUGCAGUCAGCUGGGGCAGUUUGGAAUCUGGGCACCUCAAGAGGUGGCAGUAGACAGGAAAGCCAAAGGCGGAAGCUUCGGGCUUGGACCACACCUGGUCCUGGGGGAGGCCCUGUGAGCCCCUCGGCUUCUGUGUUUUACUUCCUUUUUUAAAGUUACUUUUUAUUUUUAAAUGACUUCUCACCUGAGAACAUGUUUUCCCUCCUGGCCCCACACUCACUUUUGAGGGGCUACUGGGCCGACAGCUGGAGGGGCUGUGAUCUGGGGAGAGGUGGUAAAAGUUUUGCCCACUGCAAGGGUCAACGUGUGCUUCCCUCCAGGAGUCUGCCGUGUACCCAAGGGAGAUUUUCAAGCAGAAGGAGAGGGCCAUGACCACCACCUCCAUCUCCAGUCCUCAGCCUGGCAAGCUGAGGAGCCCCUUCCUGCAGAAGCAGCUCACCCAACCAGAGACCCACUUUGGCAGAGAGCCAGCUGCUGCCGUCUCAAGGCCCAGGGCAGAUCUCCCUGCUGAGGAGCCGGUGCCCAGCACUCCUCCAUGUCUGGUGCAGGCAGAAGAGGAGGCUGUGUAUGAGGAACCCCCAGAGCAGGAGACCUUCUACGAGGAGCCCCCACUGGUGCAGCAGCAAGGUGCCGGCUCUGAGCACAUUGACCACCACAAUCAGGGCCAGGGGCUCAGUGGGCAAGGGCUCUGUGCCCGUGCCCUGUACGACUACCAGGCAGCCGACGACACAGAGAUCUCCUUUGACCCCGAGAACCUCAUCACGGGCAUCGAGGUGAUCGACGAAGGCUGGUGGCGUGGCUAUGGGCCGGAUGGCCAUUUUGGCAUGUUCCCUGCCAACUACGUGGAGCUCAUUGAGUGAGGCUGAGGGCACAUCUUGCCCUUCCCCUCUCAGACAUGGCUUCCUUAUUGCUGGAAGAGGAGGCCUGGGAGUUGACAUUCGGCACUCUUCCAGGAAUGGGACCCCCAGUGAGGAUGAGGCCUCAGGGCUCCCUCCGGCUUGGCAGACUCAGCCCGUCACCCCAAAUGCGGCAAUGACCUGGUGAUUCCCACACAUCCUUCCUGCAUCCCCCGACCCUCCCAGACAGCUUGGCUCUUGCCCGUGACAGGAUACUGAGCCAAGCCCUGCCUGUGGCCAAGCCCUGCCUGUGGCCAAGCCCUGAGUGGCCACUGCCAAGCUGCGGGGAAGGGUCCUGAGCAGGGGCAUCUGGGAGGCUCCGGCUGCCUUCUGCAUUUAUUUGCCUUUUUUCUUUUUCUCUUGCUUCUAAGGGGUGGUGGCCACCACUGUUUAGAAUGACCCUUGGGAACAGUGAACAUAGAGAAUUGUUUUUAGCAGAGUUUGUGACCAAAGUCAGAGUGGAUCAUGGUGGUUUGGCAGCAGGGAAGUAGUCUUGUUGGAGCCUGCUCUGUGCUCCCCACUCCAUUUCUCUGUCCCUCUGCCUGGGCUAUGGGAAGUAGGGAUGCAGAGGGCCAAGCUCCCACCCUGGGUAUUCGAAAACAGCAGACACAACAUGUUCCUCCACGCGGCUCACUCGAUGCCUGCAGGCCUCAGUGUGUGCCUCAACUGAUUCUGACUUCAGGAAAAGUAACACAGAGUGGCCUUGGCCUGUUGUCUUCCCCUAUUUUCUGUCCCAGCUCAUCCGUGUCUCUGAAGAACAAAUAUGCUUUUGGACCACG
This 2186-nucleotide small RNA is filed under the name Pongo abelii (Sumatran orangutan). RNAcentral describes it as "retained intron". The record is from RNAcentral. Lineage: Eukaryota; Metazoa; Chordata; Mammalia; Primates; Hominidae.